GACGAACGUUGGCGGCGUGCCUAAUACAUGCAAGUAGAACGCUGAAGCUUGGUGCUUGCACCGAGCGGAUGAGUUGCGAACGGGUGAGUAACGCGUAGGUAACCUGCCUGGUAGCGGGGGAUAACUAUUGGAAACGAUAGCUAAUACCGCAUAAAAUGAAUUAUCGCAUGAUAAUUCAUUGAAAGGUGCAAAUGCAUCACUACCAGAUGGACCUGCGUUGUAUUAGCUAGUUGGUGGGGUAACGGCUCACCAAGGCGACGAUACAUAGCCGACCUGAGAGGGUAAUCGGCCACACUGGGACUGAGACACGGCCCAGACUCCUACGGGAGGCAGCAGUAGGGAAUCUUCGGCAAUGGACGGAAGUCUGACCGAGCAACGCCGCGUGAGUGAAGAAGGUUUUCGGAUCGUAAAGCUCUGUUGUAAGAGAAGAACGAGUG
Molecule: ribosomal RNA, 437 nt
Filed under: Streptococcus sp. oral taxon 070
Lineage: Bacteria; Bacillati; Bacillota; Bacilli; Lactobacillales; Streptococcaceae
Description: bacterial SSU rRNA
Rfam family: Bacterial small subunit ribosomal RNA
Source: RNAcentral